Molecule: long non-coding RNA, 456 nt
Filed under: Androctonus crassicauda
Lineage: Eukaryota; Metazoa; Arthropoda; Arachnida; Scorpiones; Buthidae
Source: RNAcentral
GCCAUUCAAACGUCCACUACUUUGAUACAAACUUUAAUAUCAUCAAUGCAGAAUAUUCCACAACUAUGUAUAGGAAACCUUCUUACACCUCAAUAUUUAAUCCUGCUUUUCACCUGAUGCCUGGAGCCAUAAAAUGGUUGCCUUCAGAACACUAUUCAAGCACACAUUUACAUAUAGCAUUCAUCAAAAAGAUUGGUACAAAGAAAUUGGGUUUAUUAUCAGACAGGUCAUAUCUCAACAGAUAUAAACCUAAAAGUCUGAUCAAAAUCCUACAGCAAGUUAAAAAUAAAUUCUCCUCUUCAGAAAACAUUGCAUACAGUAAACUCAAUCUAUCACCACUCUCAGAAAAUUAAGUAAAACUAUUGAGCAUUGUACCGGCUAUAAACUCUUUUUAAAGGAAGCGUUCUCUCCUCAACUUGCUGCAUAAUGACAAAGACAAUGUGCCCAUUAUUAACC